CCUACGGGAGGCAGCAGUAAGGAAUAUUGGUCAAUGGGCGGAAGCCUGAACCAGCCAUGCCGCGUGCAGGAAGACGGCCCUACGGGUUGUAAACUGCUUUUGCAGGGGAAUAAACCCCCGUACGAGUACGGGGCUGAAUGUACUCUGAGAAUAAGGAUCGGCUAACUCCGUGCCAGCAGCCGCGGUAAUACGGAGGAUCCAAGCGUUAUCCGGAUUUAUUGGGUUUAAAGGGUGCGUAGGUGGCUUUUUAAGUCAGGGGUGAAAGACGGUAGCUUAACUAUCGCAGUGCCUUUGAUACUGAAGAGCUUGAAUGAACUAGGGGUAGGCGGAAUGUGACAAGUAGCGGUGAAAUGCAUAGAUAUGUCACAGAACACCAAUUGCGAAGGCAGCUUACUAUGGUUUUAUUGACACUGAGGCACGAAAGCGUGGGGAUCAAACAGGAUUAGAUACCCUGGUAGUCCACGCCCUAAACGAUGAAUACUCGAUGUUGGCGAUAUAUGGUCAGCGUCUAAGCGAAAGCGUUAAAGUAUUCCACCUGGGGAGUACGCCCGCAAGGGUGAAACUCAAAUGAAUUGAGGCUGAGAGNGCGAGACGACACGAGGGAGAGG
RNAcentral lists this ribosomal RNA (608 nucleotides) under uncultured bacterium. Its description in RNAcentral is "bacterial SSU rRNA". It matches the Rfam family "Bacterial small subunit ribosomal RNA", at positions 338 to 950 of the family's 1533-position model. The record is from RNAcentral.